RNAcentral lists this ribosomal RNA (253 nucleotides) under uncultured bacterium. Its description in RNAcentral is "partial 16S ribosomal RNA". It matches the Rfam family "Bacterial small subunit ribosomal RNA", at positions 524 to 776 of the family's 1533-position model. The record is from RNAcentral.
UACAGAGGUCUCAAGCGUUGUUCGGAUUCAUUGGGCGUAAAGGGUGCGUAGGUGGCGCCGUAAGUCAGGUGUGAAAUCCCGGGGCUCAACCCCGGAACUGCACUUGAUACUGCGGUGCUCGAGUACUGGAGAGGAGAUUGGAAUUUACGGUGUAGCAGUGAAAUGCGUAGAUAUCGGAAAGAACACCAACGGCGAAAGCACUCUGCUGGGCCGACACUGACACUGAGAGACGAAAGCUAGGGGAGCGAAUGGG